This 1000-nucleotide ribosomal RNA is filed under the name Microbacterium sp. HBUM178236. RNAcentral describes it as "bacterial SSU rRNA". It matches the Rfam family "Bacterial small subunit ribosomal RNA", at positions 33 to 1043 of the family's 1533-position model. Lineage: Bacteria; Bacillati; Actinomycetota; Actinomycetes; Micrococcales; Microbacteriaceae. The record is from RNAcentral.
UCCCUUGGCCGGCGUGCUUACACAUGCAAGUCGAACGGUGAAGCAGAGCUUGCUCUGUGGAUCAGUGGCGAACGGGUGAGUAACACGUGAGCAACCUGCCCCUGACUCUGGGAUAAGCGCUGGAAACGGCGUCUAAUACUGGAUAUGAGCUGCGAUCGCAUGGUCAGCAGUUGGAAAGAUUUUUCGGUCUGGGAUGGGCUCACGGCCUAUCAGCUUGUUGGUGAGGUAAUGGCUCACCAAGGCGUCGACGGGUAGCCGGCCUGAGAGGGUGACCGGCCACACUGGGACUGAGACACGGCCCAGACUCCUACGGGAGGCAGCAGUGGGGAAUAUUGCACAAUGGGCGAAAGCCUGAUGCAGCAACGCCGCGUGAGGGAUGACGGCCUUCGGGUUGUAAACCUCUUUUAGCAGGGAAGAAGCGAAAGUGACGGUACCUGCAGAAAAAGCGCCGGCUAACUACGUGCCAGCAGCCGCGGUAAUACGUAGGGCGCAAGCGUUAUCCGGAAUUAUUGGGCGUAAAGAGCUCGUAGGCGGUUUGUCGCGUCUGCUGUGAAAUCCCGAGGCUCAACCUCGGGUCUGCAGUGGGUACGGGCAGACUAGAGUGCGGUAGGGGAGAUUGGAAUUCCUGGUGUAGCGGUGGAAUGCGCAGAUAUCAGGAGGAACACCGAUGGCGAAGGCAGAUCUCUGGGCCGUUACUGACGCUGAGGAGCGAAAGGGUGGGGAGCAAACAGGCUUAGAUACCCUGGUAGUCCACCCCGUAAACGUUGGGAACUAGUUGUGGGGUCCAUUCCACGGAUUCCGUGACGCAGCUAACGCAUUAAGUUCCCCGCCUGGGGAGUACGGCCGCAAGGCUAAAACUCAAAGGAAUUGACGGGGACCCGCACAAGCGGCGGAGCAUGCGGAUUAAUUCGAUGCAACGCGAAGAACCUUACCAAGGCUUGACAUAUACGAGAACGGGCCAGAAAUGGUCAACUCUUUGGACACUCGUAAACAGGUGGUG